CUCUCCGUAGUGUAACGGAUAACACGCAAGAUUCCGGUUCUUGAAAUGGGCGUUCGAUUCGUCUCGGGGAGGC
RNAcentral lists this transfer RNA (73 nucleotides) under Staphylococcus aureus. Its description in RNAcentral is "tRNA-Arg(ccg)". It matches the Rfam family "tRNA". From Rfam's summary of the family: Transfer RNA (tRNA) molecules are approximately 80 nucleotides in length. Lineage: Bacteria; Bacillati; Bacillota; Bacilli; Caryophanales; Staphylococcaceae. The record is from RNAcentral. RNAcentral also lists the same sequence under 1 other name.